Hyposmocoma kahamanoa is the source of this 834-nucleotide long non-coding RNA. RefSeq lists it as uncharacterized. The transcript has 3 exons. NCBI's taxonomy places the organism in Eukaryota, Metazoa, Arthropoda, Insecta, Lepidoptera, Cosmopterigidae. The record is from RefSeq and is a predicted model, not a curated record.
UUUGUGUUGUGGUUGUGCUGUGCUCUCAUAUUCUCUUUACGAAUUAUGAAGUGAAGUAUGUUAUGUGCUAAAAACGGUGGUCCGCUUGUAUGUUUAUCUAAAAAUUGUUAAAUAAUUAGUCAAGGUAAAAGUAGUGGCAAGUUGCAGUUGACACGAUGGAUGAAGACAUUGAUAUUGAAGAACAUGAUUUACUAGAUAACCCUUUAAUAAAGUCAAUAUUUCCUGACAUAUCUGUCAUUAAAAAAGAAAUCGAAUGUUAUUAUAAUGCAGGGACAGCCAAUUCAACUAUUAAUGUUGACACACAAGUCUGUAGUACUUGUCCUCAAGAUCCUACCAUUGACAGUACAACACGGACCUCAGAAGUACCAGCAAGGUCACUUGACCCAUUUCAAGAUGGUGUGGACUCUGUAGAGAUAAAGGGAGAAGUGACAGUUGAUUUCACUGCUGCACCUGAUCACAUUGAAAAGUUUCAUAACAACAAGAUAAUAGUAGGGACAAAUCCAACCAAGGGUGUUUUUAAUCAAGAACUAUUGUCCCUAGUUGAAGCGAAAGUGUUAUUACACAAUAUCUAUUCAUAUUUAGAAAACAGUGGCCGAUAUUGUCAUCAAUGUUUAAUAUUGUUUCCUAAUAAAAUCACAUUUGUAUCUCACAGAAAAUUAGUCCACACUAAAGCGUGUUAUCAAAGUAAAUGCUACAUAUGUAGUAAAAAAUUCAAUUACAGUGAUAUGCAAUGUCAUUUAACACAUGUUCAUCAAAUCAAAAUUAAUACACAAAUAAAAUUAAAGAAAACACACAAUUCACACAAGGAAAAAGCUUUAUUACAGAAAAGGAACA